GCCCGCAGUCUCCUGUACACGGUUUGUCGACUUAUCACGUGUCCCAGUGCCGU
This 53-nucleotide long non-coding RNA is filed under the name Haliotis rufescens (red abalone). RNAcentral's name for it is "uncharacterized LOC125376950". The record is from RNAcentral. Lineage: Eukaryota; Metazoa; Mollusca; Gastropoda; Lepetellida; Haliotidae.